Molecule: ribosomal RNA, 613 nt
Filed under: Escherichia coli
Lineage: Bacteria; Pseudomonadati; Pseudomonadota; Gammaproteobacteria; Enterobacterales; Enterobacteriaceae
Also listed under: 1 other name
Description: partial 23S ribosomal RNA
Rfam family: Bacterial large subunit ribosomal RNA
Source: RNAcentral
UGGCUAAUCCUGGUCGGACAUCAGGAGGUUAGUGCAAUGGCAUAAGCCAGCUUGACUGCGAGCGUGACGGCGCGAGCAGGUGCGAAAGCAGGUCAUAGUGAUCCGGUGGUUCUGAAUGGAAGGGCCAUCGCUCAACGGAUAAAAGGUACUCCGGGGAUAACAGGCUGAUACCGCCCAAGAGUUCAUAUCGACGGCGGUGUUUGGCACCUCGAUGUCGGCUCAUCACAUCCUGGGGCUGAAGUAGGUCCCAAGGGUAUGGCUGUUCGCCAUUUAAAGUGGUACGCGAGCUGGGUUUAGAACGUCGUGAGACAGUUCGGUCCCUAUCUGCCGUGGGCGCUGGAGAACUGAGGGGGGCUGCUCCUAGUACGAGAGGACCGGAGUGGACGCAUCACUGGUGUUCGGGUUGUCAUGCCAAUGGCACUGCCCGGUAGCUAAAUGCGGAAGAGAUAAGUGCUGAAAGCAUCUAAGCACGAAACUUGCCCCGAGAUGAGUUCUCCCUGAGACUUAGAGUCUCCUGAAGGAACGUUGAAGACGACGACGUUGAUAGGCCGGGUGUGUAAGCGCAGCGAUGCGUUGAGCUAACCGGUACUAAUGAACCGUGAGGCUUAACCUU